This 201-nucleotide non-coding RNA is filed under the name Pediococcus cellicola. RNAcentral's name for it is "T-box sequence". It matches the Rfam family "T-box leader". Rfam says of the family: Uncharged tRNA acts as the effector for transcription antitermination of genes in the T-box leader family. T-boxes are found upstream of many aminoacyl-tRNA synthetase genes and some amino acid biosynthetic genes usually in Gram-positive bacteria. Lineage: Bacteria; Bacillati; Bacillota; Bacilli; Lactobacillales; Lactobacillaceae. The record is from RNAcentral.
UUAAAAGCAACGAGGCAAUCGAAGUAGCCGAUUAUCCAACAUGGCAGAGAUCUGGUGGGGGUGCAAACCAGAAUGUGGUAAUGGUGAAUUACAGUUGUACAGCUUCUAAGUUUAAAUUAGCGAUUCAUCACGUUAUCGAUGUUGAGUGAUUGCAAUUUCUGCAAUAACUUGGGUGGUAACGCGGAAAAAUUCGUCCCUGGA